GCCCAUCUGUCGACUUCUUUGCAGGUGUGAUGAGAACAACAGCUACCUUCAAGGUGACUUUGGAGUGAAGCACAGUUGACAAGCAAAGAAAAUACUUCCCUAGUGAGGAUGAUGAGAACUAAAGAACAAUGCUGAAUUCAACUGUGGGUUUUAAGAAGCUGAUGAUUGCUUGCUCCUACCCCAGUCUUCCCAGACCACAGGACCAGGAGAAGGUAAACAGCGAUGGUCUUUCAUCUUUGGACUGCUCACCUAGGCUCAGUGCCCUGCUGCUUGUGUCCAGGAAAGAGAGGCAUUGAACUUGGGACCUUGCGCUUGCCAGGUAGGAGCAGUGCCACCAGGCUACAUCCCCAGCCCUUGCUCUGUGGAGAUAGUAAGGCAAAGGGGAGUAAGUCCCU
This is a long non-coding RNA of Octodon degus (degu), 395 nucleotides long. RefSeq lists it as uncharacterized. NCBI's taxonomy places the organism in Eukaryota, Metazoa, Chordata, Mammalia, Rodentia, Octodontidae. The transcript has 5 exons. The record is from RefSeq and is a predicted model, not a curated record.